AAUCCUCCAUCUGUUGGGGGCAGAUAAAGUGAAUGUGGCUGUCCAUGCCGCCAGCGGUAAGGAUACGUCCUUCGCCGGCAAUGACUUCGGUGCCCGGCCCGACAAUGAUAUCUACUCCCGUCUGCGUAUCCGGGUUGCCCGCUUUGCCAAUCGCGUGGAUCAACCCGUCUUUCAGCGCAACAUCCGCUUUGUAGAUGCCGGCGUGAUCAACGAUCAGCGCAUUGGUGAUCACGGUAUCAACCGCACCGCCUGCACGGGUGACUUGGGAUUGCCCCAUACCGUCGCGUAU
Non-coding RNA from Sulfitobacter geojensis, 289 nucleotides. The record is from Rfam. Lineage: Bacteria; Pseudomonadati; Pseudomonadota; Alphaproteobacteria; Rhodobacterales; Roseobacteraceae.